AGUGAACGCUGGCGGUAGGCCUAACACAUGCAAGUCGAACGGCAGCACAGUAAGAGCUUGCUCUUACGGGUGGCGAGUGGCGGACGGGUGAGGAAUACAUCGGAAUCUACUUUUUCGUGGGGGAUAACGUAGGGAAACUUACGCUAAUACCGCAUACGACCUACGGGUGAAAGCAGGGGAUCUUCGGACCUUGCGCGAUUGAAUGAGCCGAUGUCGGAUUAGCUAGUUGGCGGGGUAAAGGCCGACCAAGGCGACGAUCCGUAGCUGGUCUGAGAGGAUGAUCCGCCACACUGGAACUGAGACACGGCCCAGACUCCUACGGUAGGCAGCAGUGGGGAAUAUUGGACAAUGGGCGCAAGCCUGAUCCAGCCAUACCGCGUGGGUGAAGAAGGCCUUCGGGUUGUAAAGCCCUUUUGUUGGGAAAGAAAAGCAGCAGGUUAAUACCCCGCUGUUCUGACGGUACCCAAAGAAUAAGCACCGGCUAACUUCGUG
RNAcentral lists this ribosomal RNA (492 nucleotides) under uncultured bacterium. Its description in RNAcentral is "partial 16S ribosomal RNA". It matches the Rfam family "Bacterial small subunit ribosomal RNA", at positions 29 to 507 of the family's 1533-position model. The record is from RNAcentral.